UAGAUACCCUGGUAGUCCACGCGGUAAACGAUGGAUGCUCGUUGUUGGCCCUUAUGGUCAGUGACCAAGCGAAAGCGUUAAGCAUCCCACCUGGGGAGUACGCCGGCAACGGUGAAACUCAAAGGAAUUGACGGGGGCCCGCACAAGCGGAGGAACAUGUGGUUUAAUUCGAUGAUACGCGAGGAACCUUACCCGGGCUUGAACUGUGGCGGAACGAUUCGGAGACGAUGAGGCCCUUCGGGGCUGCCAC
This 250-nucleotide ribosomal RNA is filed under the name uncultured bacterium. RNAcentral's name for it is "partial 16S ribosomal RNA". It matches the Rfam family "Bacterial small subunit ribosomal RNA", at positions 779 to 1033 of the family's 1533-position model. The record is from RNAcentral.